RNAcentral lists this ribosomal RNA (500 nucleotides) under uncultured bacterium. Its description in RNAcentral is "partial 16S ribosomal RNA". It matches the Rfam family "Bacterial small subunit ribosomal RNA", at positions 30 to 523 of the family's 1533-position model. The record is from RNAcentral.
AUUGGACGCUGGCGGCAUGCCUUACACAUGCAAGUCGAACGGCAGCACGGGAGCAAUCCUGGUGGCGAGUGGCGAACGGGUGAGUAAAGUAUCGGAACGUGCCCAGUCGUGGGGGAUAACGUAGCGAAAGUUACGCUAAUACCGCAUACGAUCUAUGGAUGAAAGCGGGGGAUCGCAAGACCUCGCGCGAUUGGAGCGGCCGAUAUCAGAUUAGGUAGUUGGUGGGGUAAAGGCUCACCAAGCCGACGACCUGUAGCUGGUCUGAGAGGACGACCAGCCACACUGGGACUGAGACACGGCCCAGACUCCUACGGGAGGCAGCAGUGGGGAAUUUUGGGCAAUGGGCGAAAGCCUGAUUCAGCCAUGCCGCGUGCAGGAUGAAGGCCUUCGGGUUGUAAACUGCUUUUGUACGGAACGAAAAGGUUUGGGCUAAUAAGCUGAGCUCAUGACGGUACCGUAAGAAUAAGCACCGGCUAACUACGUGCCAGCCGCCGCAGUAA